UACGGGGGGGGCAAGCGUUGUUCGGAAUUACUGGGCGUAAAGGGCUCGUAGGCGGCCAACUAAGUCAUACGUGAAAUCCCUCGGCUUAACCGGGGAACUGCGUCUGAUACUGGAUGGCUUGAGUUCGGGAGAGGGAUGCAGAAUUCCAGGUGUAGCGGUGAAAUGCGUAGAUAUCUGGAGGAAUACCGGUGGCGAAGGCGGCAUCCUGGACCGACAUUGACGCUGAUGAGCGAAAGCGAGGGGAGCAAACGGG
RNAcentral lists this ribosomal RNA (253 nucleotides) under uncultured bacterium. Its description in RNAcentral is "partial 16S ribosomal RNA". It matches the Rfam family "Bacterial small subunit ribosomal RNA", at positions 524 to 776 of the family's 1533-position model. The record is from RNAcentral.